ACUUUUGGACUCAAGAAAUUUGUUAAAGUGUCCCUACCGAUUGUUGUUAGGAAAAAACACGUAAUUUUCUCAUUUACGACACAUUUUUCUAAAAACCGCAGAGUGGCGCCACUGCAGUAUUUGUUUGGUCGACAUACCACGUUGGUUGUCGUAAAGUGCGGUAUUUGAGUUAUAUUUUAGAAGAGCCUAGACAAAAUGUGCUCCUUGUCAUGUGCAGUAACCAUCGCAAACCCUCCGGACUCGUGUAACGCCGUUAGUUCGCCGUGUGUUUCGUGCGAUCUACCAGUGUCGACAGUGAGUGUCUUACUACAGCGCCCGUCCGAGCUGCCUUUGUUCUGCCGAGCUGCCUGCAAGCGCUCCCGUGAAAAGUCUGGUACUGGAGCUUCGAAUCGUAGUGUAUGGAAGGCUGUUGAAGGUUGUGCUUUUGUGGAGCUGGAGUUCAUCGGAAGUUCUACAGUGCUUGCGCCAGAAAGACGUCGGUGCCUCGGUACCUUUGAGACGAAGGAGCGUUGGCCAAGUCUUUUUGAAAGGCUAUGCGGAUUCUGGAGGCAUCCCUACAUCGAGCAGGAACCUGCUGCACUGCUGGAAGCUGGACAGCACGACAAUAAAGCACGUGAUCUGCGUGCUUUCUCAAAGGUAGACAUCGGCGACGGUGUAUAUGUUGAAAAGGGCCUGCUGAAGAGGCUGCGCCUGGAUGCUAACAACUCGGGCUUUCAGUUCGCGGGGGGCCUCCUUAAGGCUCCUUUUACAAAAGUAGAGGUUGAAGGGAGGCGCUACACAUGGAUGCGCAGCAAUUGUUUGUGACAGCGUCACUGCUGGCAGGCCUGGCCUGCCUUUUCGCUUCGUUCUGGGUCUUCCACGUUAUCUACUCGAAAAAGGCCCACAGGAUUUUGACAUUUAUUCAGCACUGCUUUCUUGAUUUUUACUACACAAAGCUGCAGGUGAAAGCAUUGGAUUUACUCAAUUUUUACAAGACAAAACUAUUGCUAGGCAAAAAAAUUUUUAGAUGCAUAUCCUCAAGAAAGUUUCUGUAAAAAUGAUUUUGCCUAACGAAAGCACUCGUGGGUUCUGUGGCUGGCAGGUUGCCCAAGCCAUGUAGCACAGUGCUUGCUUUAAAGGGACACGAAAGAGAAAAUUUAUUUGAGCUUUAUUAAAUCAUUCUUCUACCGCACUGAAAAAACAACUCCCACCAUGAGAAUUGGCUUGAUAAGCCAGAUAACUUGCAAAAAUGAAAACUGGUGUCGCCACCACCACCUUAUAGUUCCUGCACCAGCUCGCUGUGAUAUGGAAUUUGACGGUGUCUGGUCGGGUCUAGCUGAUGUUCUACUGGCCAAUAUUGAUGAAUUCUGUUGUAAAGGUGUCAAAGAAUAUGCUUAGUUGAAGUAUGACUCCACACUGAUGUGCGGGCACUGCAUAAAACUUGAAAAAUGAAAGUUAUAUCUUCAUUUUCUCAUGUAUUAAUCCGCUUAUUGCCACAAUGUUCAUGAAUACAGUUCUGAAAGAUUGUUUUAUCAGUCUAAAAUGAUUUACUGUUUCUCUUUAGUAUCUCUGUAAUGGACCUUCAGCAACAAAAUGUGUGUUAGUAUGCCACAGGUAUUCUCAGCAGGGGCAAAAGCACCAGCAGCAUGCUGAAUGAUUCUGUACCAACUGAUAACUUGAAGGAUGUCCUGUGCCACUAGGGUUAGGCCAACGUGGCUCUGUGUUAAUCACCACAAGUGUAUUAUGCAAAACUUAAUGGCCCAGAAAUUGGUAAUUCAGGGGGGAGUUGAAUUAGCUAUUUUUAUUUCUUUUUUUUUUCUUUAUCAUGGACUUCUCACAUUACACUUUGUCACAACGCAUUCACUUUAAAGUAACUGUGGAGAAUAAGGUGGUUUGGUAUUCAGACAUGCCUUCUGUGUGUAAACAGUGUUAGAUGAGCAAUACAAAGAUACACUAUAGAUGCUGACUAGCAAAAUGAAGGGGUUUGAGGGCAGAUACAAGUAUACAUCCUUGUAGUCGUACCUGUAGCACUAUGUUCAAUUUGUCACACAAGCAUAUGGCAUCCAUCACAACUGCAUGCCUAGAAACAGACAAGGGCAACACACUCAAUUCCCUUUUAGUCUAUCUAAGAAGCACUACAAUUUUUAGGCAACGAAAUUGAAAUCUGGCUUGUACCCAUAAGUACUGCAAUACAGUUGCGCAACAUGUUCCUCUUGUGUGGAAAAAGGGCUGCAUAUGUUUUCUUUGAGCACAAGGGGGAGUGGUAUCAGUUAGAGCCCCUCCAUCCACGCGCCACUGCAGCUUUCUUAAGUAGCGACAACCUUUGUUGUGCGCCGCCUUUUCUCCUCACACCAAAUCCUGUUCCAGCAUUUCUGUUUUAAAAGUUUCCGGUUCCGGCGUUACCGCUUCCUGGAGUUGUGCUGCGGGAAUUUCCGCUUUGACUGCCGAUGGUCAGACGCCCACGUGUGCUUAGCAGAGCUGUGGGAGUCGCCAUGAGAAGAAUGCAAAGGCGACAAGCUGUUAUAUUCCGCUGAAGUAGUAAUUCGCGGUCGCUGUUUUCUAAAUGCACGAAAAACGGCAGUGGUCUCCAAGCGCCAGGCACUACAUUCCACUGUACGUUGUCUCUCGUGGCACAACCCGUCACAGGUUGACGUGAAACAGCGAACACGAUCAGAUCGCUGAUUACAAUAGGCGGUGGUACUUGGAUGGAAUCGCAUUCACAGUUUAAACCGCAGCUGGUGCA
Molecule: non-coding RNA, 2722 nt
Organism: Dermacentor albipictus
Lineage: Eukaryota; Metazoa; Arthropoda; Arachnida; Ixodida; Ixodidae
Source: RefSeq, a predicted model, not a curated record